GACGAACCGUGCGAACGUUGUUCGGAAUCACUGGGCUUAAAGGGCGCGUAGGCGGGCUGACAAGUCUGGGGUGAAAUACCGCGGCUCAACCGUGGAACUGCCUUAGAUACUGUCGGCCUCGAGGGAGGUAGGGGCGUGCGGAACUGUAGGUGGAGCGGUGAAAUGCGUUGAUAUCUACAGGAACUCCGGUGGCGAAAGCGGCGCGCUGGACCUCUUCUGACGCUGAGGCGCGAAAGCUAGGGGAGCAAACGGG
This 253-nucleotide ribosomal RNA is filed under the name uncultured bacterium. RNAcentral's name for it is "partial 16S ribosomal RNA". It matches the Rfam family "Bacterial small subunit ribosomal RNA", at positions 524 to 776 of the family's 1533-position model. The record is from RNAcentral.